UGGAGGCAGCAGUGGGGAAUAUUGGGCAAUGGGCGGAAGCCUGACCCAGCCACGCCGCGUGAGUGAUGAAGGCCUUCGGGUUGUAAAGCUCUGUGGGGAGGGACGAAAAACCAUGACCUAAUACGUCCUGGGUUGACGGUACCUCCUUAGCAAGCACCGGCUAACACUGUGCCAGCAGCCGCGGUAAGACAGAGGGUGCAAACGUUGCUCGGAUUUACUGGGCGUAAAGCGCAUGUAGGCGGAGAGAUGUGUCGGGUGUGAAAUCCCUGGGCUCAACCUAGGAACUGCAUCCGAAACUAUCUUUCUAGAGUAGUGGAGAGGAAAGCGGAAUUCCGGGUGUAGAGGUGAAAUUCGUAGAUAUCCGGAGGAACACCAGUGGCGAAGGCGGCUUUCUGGACACUAACUGACGCUGAGAUGCGAAAGCGUGGGGAGCAAACAGGAUUAGAUACCCCGGU
Molecule: ribosomal RNA, 455 nt
Filed under: uncultured bacterium
Lineage: Bacteria
Description: bacterial SSU rRNA
Rfam family: Bacterial small subunit ribosomal RNA
Source: RNAcentral